This is a non-coding RNA of Albula glossodonta (roundjaw bonefish), 73 nucleotides long. Lineage: Eukaryota; Metazoa; Chordata; Actinopteri; Albuliformes; Albulidae. The record is from the annotation of a GenBank genome assembly.
UGCAGUGCAGUAUAAUGCUUAGGAAGCUGGGCUUGUAACUCAGAGGUUGCAGGUUCAAAUCCUGGGUCUGGUA